Molecule: non-coding RNA, 73 nt
Organism: Lipotes vexillifer (Yangtze River dolphin)
Lineage: Eukaryota; Metazoa; Chordata; Mammalia; Artiodactyla; Lipotidae
Source: the annotation of a RefSeq genome assembly
UCCCCGGUGGUCCAGUGGUUAAAACUCUGCACUUCCACAGCAGGGGGCACAGGUUCGAUACCUGGCUGGGGAA